RNAcentral lists this long non-coding RNA (1215 nucleotides) under Homo sapiens (human). RNAcentral describes it as "HSALNT0134453". The record is from RNAcentral. Lineage: Eukaryota; Metazoa; Chordata; Mammalia; Primates; Hominidae.
UGUCGGGCGCCUGUAAUCCCAGCUACAUGGCGAAACUUCGUCUCUACUAAAAAUACAAAAAUUAGCUGGGCGGGUGGCAGGCACCUGUAGUCCCAGCUACUCGGGAGGCUGAGGCAGAAGAAUCGCUUGAACCUGGGAGGCGGAGGUUGUAGACAGAGCGAGACUCUACCUCAAAAAAAAAAAAAAAAAAAAAAAAAUGUCCUCAAAAGAGCAGUAGACAGGCUGAACAUGAGAACCUCUGCUUUGCUCCCAGCCGGUUGUGAACUUGGACAAGGCCAUUUACUCUAGACCUGUUUCUCUACAGGCAAACAACAGGAGGCAGUUAGCUAGCUCUGAAGUUUCUUCCCAUUCUAAAAUCUAAGACAGUAUGCUAAACAUGGGCAAAUAACUUAAAAUUGCAUAGGAAUAUGUGAUACAAGUAACGUUUAAAGACUCAUACAUUCAUCCUAAUUUACUGUGGGAAAUAAUAUAACCAUCUUACAUUCUGGAAUAUAUGACACUUAAAGGUUUUGGGAAUUAACCCAUCAAAACCUGGAGCAGCAGCAUCCAUCUUAAAAUCUCCAAACUCCAUCGCUACCUGGUGAGGGCUGAAACUCUCUUCCCUAAAAUAAUCUUCAGGCCACACUGGAAGCACCUCCCUCUUACGAAAGAUACUGCAUGACCUUUAAGCAUCCAAGUGGUUUUGAAAAGACUUCAUCUGGCCAUAUGCUCACUGCUCCCAUUACCUCUUUCCCAAGAGUUGAAUUAAAGAAAGGUUAGGCAAGAACCCUUCCAAGAAGGCUCCCGGUUCUCACGACUAGGAACAAUCUGAGGACAAGAUGUCUGGGCAGCGGAAUGUUAUGAAAAGACCCUGGCCUGGGUUGUCUAUCAGCCUCGUCCGUUAACUUUCAACUGCCCGAGUGCGUUUUUAAUUCCGUUUCUUUAAAUGCAUGGCCCCAGACUCCCUGACGUGUGCAAUCUUGGGUGGUUCAGGAGGCUGCUCUCAGCUUUACUGGGCGCACAACCCAUCGCUUUAAAAAAAAAAAAAUCACUUGGGCAACUUCGAGAAAUCUAAUAAAAAAAUAAAAAAGGAAAAAGGAGAAGCAAGGCACAGCCUCUCACCCCACACGUGACUGAAGCCAACCCUAGACGAGCAAAUGAAUUUUCCUGACAAACGUGUGGCAACAAAGGAAUGCUCGCUGGGGGGCUCCCGCGCCCGCCAGACGCUGCCCGCCC